Molecule: long non-coding RNA, 243 nt
Filed under: Solanum lycopersicum (tomato)
Lineage: Eukaryota; Viridiplantae; Streptophyta; Magnoliopsida; Solanales; Solanaceae
Description: long non-coding RNA (SLYC_LNC001227)
Source: RNAcentral
UCGGUGUAAAGUUCCUUCCCGAGAAUGUCACAGUGUAAUGCCACGGAGAACUCUGCAGGUCCAAAGCAGGACAACACCCUCUCGAUCAUUGCAGACAAGUCAACAGCUCUGAAAUCGUAACCCACUGCUUCAAAACUUGCAUAGCUGAAUCCAUCCUCGGGGGUUAUGUGAAUUGUGGAGAUUGCGGAGCCUUCAACAGCAUUCAUAGAGUAACCACAGGGGUCAAAGUCGAAAUCACAUAUG